Molecule: signal recognition particle RNA, 256 nt
Filed under: Marmota monax (woodchuck)
Lineage: Eukaryota; Metazoa; Chordata; Mammalia; Rodentia; Sciuridae
Rfam family: Metazoan signal recognition particle RNA
About the family: The signal recognition particle (SRP) is a universally conserved ribonucleoprotein.
Source: RNAcentral
UCCCAGCUACUCGGGAGGCUGAGGUGGGAGGAUCGCUUGAGUCCAGGAGUUCUGGGCUGUAGUGCGCUAUGCCGAUCGGGUGUCCGCACUAAGUUCGGCAUCAAUAUGGUGACCUCCCGGGAGCGGGGGGCCACCAGGUUGCCUAAGGAGGGGUGAACCGGCCCAGGUCGGAAACGGAGCAGGUCAAAACUCCCGUGCUGAUCAGUAGUGGGAUCGCGCCUGUGAAUAGCCACUGCACUCCAGCCUGGGCAACAUA